Molecule: ribosomal RNA, 253 nt
Filed under: uncultured bacterium
Lineage: Bacteria
Description: partial 16S ribosomal RNA
Rfam family: Bacterial small subunit ribosomal RNA
Source: RNAcentral
UACGUAGGGUGCAAGCGUUAAUCGGAAUUACUGGGCGUAAAGCGUGCGCAGGCGGCUUUGCAAGACAGAUGUGAAAUCCCCGGGCUCAACCUGGGAACUGCAUUUGUGACUGCAUGGCUGGAGUGCGGCAGAGGGGGAUGGAAUUCCGCGUGUAGCAGUGAAAUGCGUAGAUAUGCGGAGGAACACCGAUGGCGAAGGCAAUCCCCUGGGCCUGCACUGACGCUCAUGCACGAAAGCUAGGGGAGCAAACAGG